RNAcentral lists this ribosomal RNA (273 nucleotides) under uncultured bacterium. RNAcentral describes it as "partial 16S ribosomal RNA". It matches the Rfam family "Bacterial small subunit ribosomal RNA", at positions 524 to 796 of the family's 1533-position model. The record is from RNAcentral.
UACGUAGGGUGCGAGCGUUAAUCGGAAUUACUGGGCGUAAAGCGUGCGCAGGCGGCGACAUAAGACAGAUGUGAAAUCCCCGGGCUUAACCUGGGAAUGGCAUUUUGAACUGGCAGUCUAGAGUGUGUCAGAGGGGGGUGGAAUUCCACGUGUAGCAGUGAAAUGCGUAGAUAUGUGGAGGAACACCAAUGGCGAAGGCAGCCCCCUGGGAUAACACUGACGCUCAUGUACGAAAGCGUGGGUAGCAAACAGGAUUAGAUACCCGGGUAGUCC